Molecule: long non-coding RNA, 2826 nt
Filed under: Durio zibethinus
Lineage: Eukaryota; Viridiplantae; Streptophyta; Magnoliopsida; Malvales; Malvaceae
Description: long non-coding RNA (DZIB_LNC001355)
Source: RNAcentral
AAAUGUAAAAAAAUCUAACUUGAAUACAAGAGUACAGAAAACUCAAUACCUAAUAGAUGUGAGAUAAUAUUAAUUUAACAAGCCCAAUCACAUAUAAGUAGAGAAAAAAAUCUAUCAUAUGACAAAUUUGAAAGGAAUAAUAGAUAAAAGUAACAUGCAAGAACAAUGUAACAAAAUUAAGAUUUUAAUAUCAUAUUAAACAUUUAAUUUAAAAUUAAUUGACAAUUAAUAAAUAGAUUCAACUUAAAUAUAAAAUUUAAAUACUUAACAAAUAUAGGAUAAUACAACUUUAACAUUAUAAUCUAAUUGAUUCAAACUUAAAAUGAAGUAAUAUAAAUACAUAGAUAUUCAAGUGUGAAAGAAAUUAAGUCAGAGGAGCAAAAUGGAUCAAUCAAAGAAUUAAAAAUUAAAAAAUGAGAGGAAAAGGGAAGAACAGAGAAAGAGAAAGGGAAGAGAUUAGAGGCAAAAUGAAGAGAUGCGGGUGGAGAAAAAGGAGAAGAGUCAUAUUCAAUAUUUUAGUCUCCACACUUUUUAAUUUUUUUUUGUCUGUGUGGAACGUGGAUGGUUUGAUGAUAUAUGAAACAAAAUUCAAGUCUUAAAUGGAAAAUAGAAUUUUCUUAAUUGACCCAAAAAUCGAAGUUGUUGCAUGAAUGCAUCCCCUCGAUUCCACUUUCUAUUUCGCGGGCCCUGCCUAACCUUAAUUGCCACGUUAUCUACACAUUUCUUCCAAACAAAGAAAACAUUUAAUUUAAAUAAAAAACAAGUAUCGAUAAUUAAGUUUUUAUCCCAAUCCAAUAAAAACCUUAAUUGACAAGUAGCGGUGCCGCAACGAGUCGAACGAUCGUCGGCGAACAAAAAGCGAAUCUUCAAAGGCAAAAUAAGCAAAGUUGUUUCACACUUUCUAGUGGAUCCUAUAUCAAAAAGUCAAGAAAAGCAAAAAAGAAAGUAAUUGAAAACCACGAUUCAUGCCUGGGAAGUUUGGGAUAAAAAUAAGGCAUAAGCACAAAAAAUAUAUGGACUAAAAUUAAAUAAUUAUCUCAUCUUUUUUUAUUAUAUUGUAAUUAAUUAAAUUUUUAAGUAUAUAUUUUCAUCAAUUGAAUAAUUUUUAAAUAAAAAUUAAUUAAUCAUCAAUAUUUAUUUUCAUCAAUAAAAGAUUUAAUUUGAUAAAAAUAUAUGUUAAAAUUUCAAUUAGAUGAAAAUAAAUAUUUAAGGUAUUAAUAUAUUAUAUUAAAAUCAUAAAAACUUGAAUAAUUAUUUAAUUUUUGUUUAAAUACUCUUUUAUAUAAGUGCUUGAAUAAUUAUUAAAUUUUUAUUUAAAUGCUCUUUUAUAUAUUUAAGUCAAAAAAAUUAAAACUAAAAAAAACAAGUAAAGAAAACUUGUUUAACAAAAAAUAUAUAUAAUAAAAUGACAAAGUAAUGCGAUUCAGUAAUUUGAUAACUAAAGUAAUAUAUAAAUUUCACAUAUAUAUGUGGGAAUUUCAUGCUGAAACAAAUAAAAAUAAAGUGUUUUUAUUAAUUUGUAAAAAUUUUGUAGUAAUAUUUUGUGUUUUUUCUUUUGUAAUUUUGAUGGAAUAAUUGUUAAAUUAUUUUUAUUUUUUAUCUACUUAAUUUCAUUUUAAUUAGUAAAAUAAAUUAAAGUUCCUGUCUAAAACUUCUUUAAAUGUUAGGGUCAAGUUAGAUUUUGUAGUUAAUUAAGUAAGAAUAGCCUAGCCUUUUUCUAUUUAUUUUAUUGAAUAUUUAUUAAGUCGAGUAAACAACUACUUUGUCAAAUUUAUCAAAUGUUAGGGUCAACUUUCAUUUAUUUUAUUGAUUUCACGUGAAAUUUUAUAUUAAUAGGCAAAAAUAUAAUGGUGUCAAGUGUUAAUUAUUUUAUACAAAUAAAGACUUAAUUAGAUGGAAAUAAAUAUCGAAUCAAUAAUAAAAAAAUAAAAUUUUAUAUUUUUUUAAUUAUAAUUCAAGAACUUUUUGUUCCAUUUAAUCCGUGCUUAAGUAAUUAAGUAAUUCCUAUUCCUUAAUCAUACUUUCUUUUUUUAUUACUUAUAUGCAUGAAUGCAUACAUUUUAUUAAAAGUGUUAAUGUUAAAUUUUUUAUAGGUGGCAAUCAUGAACAAUUUCUUUUUAUUAUUAACUUUUUCUUUUUUUAUCUGUACAAUAACAAUUUAUGUUGUACUAUUAAAAUUUACCCCUUUGAAAAUUGGGUAUAUAUGUAGCUAUUCAAAAAUUUAAAAAAAUCAAAAUAAAAACCCAAAAUUAAAAAAUAAAAGUUUACAUCCUUGUAGCCCCAAAUGAAAUAAAAAAUUAAAAAAAAGAAAAAAAAUGGAAAAAUUUUUGAAUUCAAACAUACCAAAAAAUCAUUAAAAAAAAAAAAAAUUUUUCCUAUCCAGUCCAAAUACACAACAAAAAAGUUCAAAGAAAAAAAGGUCACAACAAAAAUAUUAAAAAAAAAAGCAAAAUGAGGAUUUCGAGUUUAAGAGAUUUCAGAAAAAAGGAAAAGGAAAGGGAACACCGACCGUAGUGGAGAUGGCAACGAAAAGCACAGCAAGCAAUAAUUAUAAAAGCAAAUCUGAACUUUAAAAAAAGUUUUUUAAAGUUUUAAAAAUUUUAGUCUUAGGAUUCUUUUUUUUUUUUUUUGGAUUUUGAAAAAUAUAAAUUAAUUAAAAGAACGAAAAGCUUGAGAUGAAUAAGAAAAACGAAAAAUUUUGGAUUUUGGACACAAUGAGGCGGCGGCGGCCAUGGUCAGCAAUAGGAACAACAUUGUUAAAGUCAAAUUUUAGAUAGAGGAGAAUAUAAAGAGCGAAAGAGCAAAACUCGAAAGAAACGAAAGGAA